RNAcentral lists this ribosomal RNA (506 nucleotides) under uncultured bacterium. RNAcentral's name for it is "partial 16S ribosomal RNA". It matches the Rfam family "Bacterial small subunit ribosomal RNA", at positions 30 to 523 of the family's 1533-position model. The record is from RNAcentral.
AUUGAACGCUGGCGGCAGGCCUAACACAUGCAAGUCGAACGGUAACAGGAAGCAGCUUGCUGCUUCGCUGACGAGUGGCGGACGGGUGAGUAAUGUCUGGGAAACUGCCUGAUGGAGGGGGAUAACUACUGGAAACGGUAGCUAAUACCGCAUAAUGUCGCAAGACCAAAGAGGGGGACCUUCGGGCCUCUUGCCAUCGGAUGUGCCAAGUUGGGAUUAGCUAGUAGGUGGGGUAACGGCUCACCUAGGGGACGAUCCCUAGGUGGUCUGAGAGGAUGACCAGCCACAAUGGAACUGAGACACGGUCCAGACUCCUACGGGAGGCAGCAGUGGGGAAUAUUGCACAAUGGGCGCAAGCCUGAUGCAGCCAUGCCGCGUGUAUGAAGAAGGCCUUCGGGUUGUAAAGUACUUUCAGCGGGGAGGAAGGCGAUAAGGUUAAUAACCUUGUCGAUUGACGUUAUCCGCAGAAGAAGCACCGGCUAACUCCGUGCCAGCCGCCGCCGUAA